UACGAGCUGCGUUGUUCGUAAAAAAUAAGUAAGUUUUAACCUUUAAGCUGUAAUCGGGAGUUUUAAAUAAAAUCGGGAAUGACAGGCCUCUGUCUAUAUGACAAGGAGGACAGGCAGGAACGUUUUUGCGGACACCCACUUUGAGGAGUGGUGGUUUAAAACUUUCUUAAUCUAAUCAAUACGGCAAUAGCGGCUUAUCU
This 200-nucleotide non-coding RNA is filed under the name Domibacillus antri. RNAcentral's name for it is "6S RNA". It matches the Rfam family "6S / SsrS RNA". Rfam says of the family: E. coli 6S RNA was the first non coding RNA to be sequenced, but its function was unknown until recently. It consists of 184 nucleotides that fold into an extended hairpin structure with a large single-stranded internal bulge. Lineage: Bacteria; Bacillati; Bacillota; Bacilli; Caryophanales; Bacillaceae. The record is from RNAcentral.